Molecule: ribosomal RNA, 863 nt
Filed under: Ramularia eucalypti
Lineage: Eukaryota; Fungi; Ascomycota; Dothideomycetes; Mycosphaerellales; Mycosphaerellaceae
Description: eukaryotic LSU rRNA
Rfam family: Eukaryotic large subunit ribosomal RNA
Source: RNAcentral
AGCGGAGGAAAAGAAACCAACAGGGAUUGCCCUAGUAACGGCGAGUGAAGCGGCAACAGCUCAAAUUUGAAAUCUGGCGCAAGCCCGAGUUGUAAUUUGUAGAGGAUGCUUCUAGGUAGCGACCGGUCUAAGUUCCUUGGAACAGGACGUCAUAGAGGGUGAGAAUCCCGUAUGUGACCGGCCCGCACCUUCUACGUAGCUCCUUCGACGAGUCGAGUUGUUUGGGAAUGCAGCUCUAAAUGGGAGGUAAAUUUCUUCUAAAGCUAAAUACCGGCCAGAGACCGAUAGCGCACAAGUAGAGUGAUCGAAAGAUGAAAAGCACUUUGGAAAGAGAGUUAAAAAGCACGUGAAAUUGUUGAAAGGGAAGCGCUUACAACCAGACUUCUGGGCGGUGUUCCGCCGGUCUUCUGACCGGUCUACUCACCGUCCCGAGGCCAACAUCAUCUGGGACCGCCGGAUAAGACCUUAGGAAUGUAGCUCCCCUCGGGGAGUGUUAUAGCCUGUGGUGAUGCGGCGCGUCUCGGGUGAGGUCCGCGCUUCGGCAAGGAUGUUGGCGUAAUGGUUGUCAGCGGCCCGUCUUGAAACACGGACCAAGGAGUCUAACAUCUAUGCGAGUGUUCGGGUGUCAAACCCCUACGCGUAAUGAAAGUGAACGGAGGUGGGAAGGGUAACCUGCACCAUCGACCGAUCCUGAUGUCCUCGGAUGGAUCUGAGUAAGAGCAUAGCUGUUGGGACCCGAAAGAUGGUGAACUAUGCCUGAAUAGGGUGAAGCCAGAGGAAACUCUGGUGGAGGCUCGCAGCGGUUCUGACGUGCAAAUCGAUCGUCAAAUUUGGGUAUAGGGGCGAAAGACUAAUCGAACCAU